GAUAAAGCAGGUGGAAGAAACACAAUCUGGCCGCCUAGAGGCUGCGUGAAGCUCGUGACCCUGCGGGGUGACUAACGGAGCUCAGCUGGGUGGGACCAGAAACCACGUCUGGGCACUCCUGAGUCACAGGCUCAGAAGCUUUCGCCUCCGCCUUCAGACUGGCCCUCAGGCUUCCCUGCUCAGAGGCAGGGAAUUGUGCAGCUGGAGUUUCAUUUUCCAAGAGGCAGGGUCUCAGUCUGUCACCCAGGCUGGAGUACAGUGGCACCAUCUUGGCUCACUCUAGCCUCGACCUCCUGGGCUCAAGUGAGCCUCCUACCUCAGUCUCCCAAAAUGCUGGGAUUACAAGCAUGAACCACUGUGACUUGCCUUCUUGGCAAUUUUAAAUGAAAGAAGAAGAUGGAAUAAUGCCUACUGAGGACUAUGUUUGAGGGGUGUUGUAUGACCCCGUUUUCCAUACCCAGCCAACUUGUCAUGUGACAAGUCCACAGAAAGAUGUUAUAUGACAGGAAUCUAUGAACUAGUCUUCCCUGAAAUGUACCUGACUACAGCUAACAUCAUAUCACAUGAUGAAAGACCGCGUUGUUUUCCCCUGAGGUUGGCACUGCAGCUGUGGGUGAUUCGGAUGGUCUGUUGGUGGAAUGUGGAGCUGGACGGGUCAAGGAGCACAGUGUGGAAAGAGGGACAAUUUGCUACAAGUUGGAGAUAAGAGACAUGGCAUACUGUGAAACCAGUGCUGACGGAAGAAGGUGACUUUCUUGGAAGGUCAAGACACUUGCUUGACAGCGAUGUCCAGGAGGGCUAGGGAGAGUUCUGCUGGAAGUGAAGGCAGCACCUGAGGGUGGCUGAGGGAACUGGUCAGGGCUGGGAACGCCUCCAGCCCUUUGAGGAAUGAUUCGCUGAUUAAGAGAUGUUUGGCCUUGAAAAUUGCAAGAAUGAAAUCUCUUGGUGGGAAUGUGUAGCCAAAAGCCAGCACCCUGAGUGGCUCCAAGGUUUGGGGACCCUCUCAAGGCACAAAUCCCAGUUCCUUUUCAAUUUUGAAAAUCGUUGUGGGCGAUUCUGGAAUUGAGAAGUGUGCUGAGAGCCAUGGAUUUAACAUGACAAGAAUUUCCGCCCCUUCGUCACUGAGCACACCGCAAAUGCUCCAGGGCCAGGGACUUACUUGGGCUUCUGCGUGUCUUCCACAGUGUGCAUCAAUCCGCCGGGCUCUGGUUGGUGUUUAAAAAAAAAGAUGCAGCGAAGGAAUCUGGUGUGGACAAACGCCCUGGGCAUGGACCAAAAGCCUGGCCCUUGUGUCCCUGGCAAUGGGACGGUGAAGGACAGAAAGACAGCACAUCCAGUAGUGUCAGGAGCUUGGAGCAGGCAUUCGGAAGCAUCUGUUAAAUGUUAUUGAUGGAGGAUUGACAUAACCCACAUCUGCAUAGCUUUUUUGGUCUGUUUUUGGAAGUGAACAGUCACAAACAAAAACAACUUUGGUUCAGGUCAUUUAUAGGCCCAGAUCCUCUAUCCUUAGAGGUUUCCCACCAGAUAUACUAUUUCACUAUCUAUGCCAGGAAAGUUACGUAAAACCACGCAGAAUUUUACCUGACAACGAAAUAGACCUUUUCGUUAGAUCCUCCACCCCACCUAAAGCAGUUACACAGGCUGAAAUGAAACUGUUAAAGGAAUGAACUAACUUGGAGAUAGAAUCAUCGCCUUUGCUGAACACCAUUUUAAGAAUAUUGGAAUAUAUAGGGGUACCAGCAUAAUAGUAAAAUGUGCCCAUAUUAUCUAUAAUUUUAUGCUGGGCACUUUUUAGAAAUUAUUUUUUAUAACUUUGUCUUUGAGAUGAUUUGGCUACAAGUUCAUUACAUUUAGUUUACAACUGGCUUUGAUUUCUUGGCAUUCGUUGUGUAUUAUUAGGAAACCCCGCAGAGAGAAAAUGUAAACUCCAAAUUGCUUUAAAAUAUUAUGAUAGUUUUUAGGGAUAUUACACUGUGACAGUGAAUGAAAUGGACGUAACGUUCUGUUUUGUAGAUAUUUUGUGAAAUCUUUAUUAGUCUUGAUUUUCUUUGGAACAAGUCAUUCCUGUUCUGGGCUGAAGCCUGAAAAUUCCCUGACCUGUGACCCUGGCCCAAGGCUCCUCUUGGAUAAAACAGUGUUUCCUGGACCAGAGGGCAAAGUCACAGAAACAUGAUGUGACGAAAUCUAAAUAGAAAGGUAUUGAUUUGUUCUUCGUUCAUCAAAUAGUUAUUGGACUCCAGCACGUAUGAGUAGCAGGGAGCCUGGCUAGCACUACACCUUCCCCUCCUGCCUCUCAGGGUCAGGGCCACAGGCACACACAGAGCGAGGGAAAAUGAGGGGGUAGAGAGGCUGGUCCCGAGUCUCCAGCCCUUCUCUCCCAAUCCUCUCCCUGAGUGGGCAGGGAACUCUUCUCUUGGCUCCUCCAACUUCCAUCAACGUCUGCCCUUGGGUCUGGUUUUAAACUCUAAGGUGUAAAUGACUCAUAAUGGCUCAACAUUUUGUCCCUCCCAAGAGGUAUUUUUAAGUCUAAGGAAUAAAGAUUUAAUAGUAAAACUUCGAAUGCCAAUCAGGGGUAAGUGAGGAUUUGGAAGAGGAAGGUCUUGAGCAUUUUCCUAACACUGCUAAAAUCAUCCCAUUGAGUUAGGGCAGCAACUAUCCUGAUGGGCUGGGUAUGAUGGAAGUUAGUCAAUGUUUCAAUAGAUGGAUGGAUGGAUGGAUGGAUGGAUGGAUGGAUAGACUGACGGAUGGAUGGAUGGAUGGAUGGAUGGAUGGAUGGAUAGACGGAUGGAUGGAUGGAUGGAUGGAUGGAUGGAUGGAUGGAUAGAUGGAUGGAUACAUAGAUCACCUUUAUUCUGAUCUCAACUGGUCUUUGAAGCUUGAUUCAUUUUUUGAUUUCUCACGGAGCCAGACUAGGGUCUGACACAUUAGGAAGCUGGCAAAAGUUUGUUGACUAAACAAAUUAAUGAAGGGAAAAUUAUGUAUGCAGAGAUGCCUGGGGUUUGGGUUACCGUUUUGGGUCCCCUUUGAUUUGAGCGACACACAUGCUGACAACUUGAGUCUGAAGUUAGUGGAUCCUUAGCUAACUUGCUAGAGUAAAGGUUGUGGUAAAACUUGACCUUGCUCUAUUCAUCAACAGCAUAUCCUGUGAAAGUCACGACGCUUCCAUGAAAACCUUGGUGCUAGGCCUGUGAUAUCUUUGCAGAGGUCUGACCUAAGGAGACUGCUUGUGUCAAUAGUAACAACAAUCACAAUUGUCCUGAACACAAAGGCAGCAUUCUUUGUGUGCUAGCUGUGGUUUUAAGCAUAUUACGUCUAUUUACUAAUUUAAUCCUGAAACAGCCUUUGCUUUAGGUACUCCUAUUAACCUCAUUUUAUGGAUGGGAAAAUAGACUGUGAGAAGUGAAGUCACCCGCCCAAGGUCAUACACCUGUAAGUGGUGGAGGCAGGGUUUGAACCGAGCACACUGGCCUCACUUCGUGGGCUCCUACCACUACGCUGCCUCAUGUUACUACCCUGUAUCCACCUCCAGAAUGAGUUGGCAGCUGCAAGUUCUCCCCAAGGCCCCACUGCAGCCCUUGCAUCUCAGCAUCAGCUCCUUGCACGGCCAGGUGGUGUUGUUUCUGACUCGGGGUCUGCAUCUCUCUCUGCGCCGCUGGGUUCAGGAGGCCCUGAGGAGCGAGCCCGGUCCAGUGCUAGCUUCGCAGCUCACAGCCCUUGGGCAAAUGUUACAACUGGAGGGCUGCACAAAUGCAUCAUGUGGUUUCAAACCAUGCGUCUCUCUGAGCAGGAAUUGCUGGAAUGGGCCUCAGAAAGUUCCUGACCCUUUGUCUGGGGUCACAGGGUCUGUGUCCAGUGAGGCCUAGAGGCCACGUGAGGUCCAGAGAGAGAAGCACAAGGCAGCUGCUGAGGCCUCAUAGGAACCAUGCGGUGAAGGAACCAGGGUUUCUUCUUUCUCCAUGGCAACUAGGAGUGCAGGUCAGCCUCGGAAAAGGAUCCUCCAUCUUUGGUUAAAAGAACG
This 4018-nucleotide long non-coding RNA is filed under the name Homo sapiens (human). RNAcentral's name for it is "HSALNT0273309". The record is from RNAcentral. Lineage: Eukaryota; Metazoa; Chordata; Mammalia; Primates; Hominidae.